AUAAUUGUUAUCCUAAAAGUCUGUUUGUUCUUGAUUUUAAAAUUUCCUUGUAAAACUUUGUAGUUGUUAUCUGUUCACUUUUUACAGAAAUAUAACUUCUGAAAGACAACGUAAAAAGCAUAUUAAGAUGGUAGACCAUCGGUCCAGAGAAAAUGUGACAAUGGCUCCUAAUGCUAACGCUGACCAUGCUUAAUAGAAGAGGUGGCUUUCCUCCAGUCAUCUUUUAUAUUUCAAAGUGCCAGAUAGAAUUAUAGUAGUUAAGAUUAAAAACUACUGCUCCCAUUUCAAGAAUGGUGCACUGACCUCCUGGGUAUUCAACCGAGACUUAGAGACCUGAAACUAAAAAGAAUAAUUGAGCUAAGAAGACUGCCAACAUUCUGGCCUUUGCCCUCUGAAAUCAGCCAGGACCCAGGGCAUGAGGGGAUCCUUCUGAAAGGUCCCUGCAACUCUGACUUUAUAUUAUCUGGAACUGGUCACUAUGAAAGGUCUUCAGGUCUACAAAUAAAGGCUGCACAGGCUACCAUCAAGUGAUGAUUGUUCAUCGAACAAGACUCCAUCUUCCUUUGUCCCCUUAGAUCAAGAUUACUGUGUUGUCUCCCUCCUUCUCCCCGACUUGCAUGAUGUGUUCUCUGUCCUCCUUGCUGUGGAAGGAGGAACCAGAUCUCAGCCCUACCUCUGCCCAUUGCUCGGUGUGAGAGCACCACGUGAUCAAAGCCCAGAGAUGUGAGAUGGCUCCACCCCUGGCUGCCCUCUGCAGCUGAUCCCGAGCACCUGGUGGCCUCUUUUGUGGCUGCCCUUGUGUGCCGUGUCGGAGCCCUGCAGAGCCGCAGCUGCCUGGGCUCCUGGGGAGAGCGGGGGAAGGAGAGGCUGGGCUCCAACACACGUGGGCCAGGUCUGCGUCCCCUCGAGGGUCCCCGGAGGGAUAGUGAGAAUGGACGGGGUCAGGCAGGAGUACAGAGAACAUGACGAGAGGGAGACAGAGAGACAGAGAGGAGCAGACAGAAACAAAGACCCUAAGGAAGAGGAGGCCUGGAGAGGUGAGCAUCAGAGGGUGAUAAUCAUCAAGGCAGCAGCCUGGUGGGGAACAAGACCAGAAGCCCCAAGGUGGAAGCACAGAGUCCAAGAGGGAGAGGAGGGAAGAGAAGAGAGGGCAGUGGUGAGAGCCGCCUGCAUGCCAGGGCCCUGCUGCCCCCAGCACUCCAAGCCGAGCUCCUUGCCGCAUGAUGGGGCAGGCUGACCUGCAGGCGUCCUCUACCGAGCAGCCAGCUCAGACUGAAGCAAAAGGAGAAAGGCUCUGCCUACCCUGGCCACCACACAGCCUACAGCCUGGCUGCAGAGAAGGUGCCUCUGAGAGCUGGUGUGGCUUCCCGGGCAGCAGUGUCCAUGCCCGCAGGAACACUGGAGCCCAGAUUCACGGAGCGCAGGGGUCAUUCAGCAUGCAGACCAUCAACUUCAGAUGGCCUUUUUCUGGCCUAGUCUGGGGGCCUGUGGCUGGGGCUGCUGGAACCUCUGGAUGGACAGAGGACCGCGGGAAAUCAGGACUUGCCUAGAGUGGUGUAAGCUGUCUCUGAGAAGGUGGAGUGGGAUUAGCACUGUCUCUAGGAGAAAACCCUAGUCUUGGGGGUGUCAGCCCGGGCAUGACCCUCAAGGAAGUGUAACAUCCAUAAGGGGAUCAUUGACCCUUGGUGUGACUCCCCUGGUUGCCUUUGGUUACUUUUGCAGCAUCUCCCCCCUGAGCCCCAUCACACGAACCUCAACAUCAGUUUCUACCUUCACUCACCUUCAUCGUGCUGAGCUCAGUUCAAUCUUCACCGUGAUUUCCUCUCAUGCCACAGCCCCUGUGCCAGCAUUUCAUAUGGGUGUGUGGAAAUUACCCAACUUCUUGUGUGAGCUCUGAAGACUGUGUUAUUCUAAUUUCUGAACCUCUCAUGGCCUGAGCAGAGAACAUUGUAAGUACUUUAUAAAUACUUGCAGAGGAAGGAAGUCCAUACAAGGGUGAAAGGAAUUUUCUUUCCAAUCCCGAAAGUUUGAUAAAUGUAGUCUAUACAACAAAAUCACAAUAGAUAGAUGAACAAGAGAAAAGGAACAUAAAUGUAUGAACACACGAGUGCAGGGGAGUCACACAAAGUUUGAAAGUCAAAGAAAGGACACAUGGAUGAAGUUUAAAUAUCCUGCUGAUAAGGGAGUAGGAAACGGGCUGUGGACAGUCUUUGAGGAAGGGGAAAUGACAGGGUGUGAAGGCCCCAGAGAAGAGUUUGCCUGGGCCUUGGGUGUGGAGUCAACUCUGCUCUUCCUGCAAUGAGUUUAAUCUUCCUUGGCUGGUGAGCUGACAGGGUCAAAGUAGAAGGUAGCUUUUUUGGUGGAUGCCAUCUUUAGGCAGAGAAGGGGCUUUCAGGGCAAAGCCUUCUUCUACAUUUGCUGUUCUGCAGAGCUGUAAGUCUCUAGCCUAAAGUGGUCUAUUUUGGGGUAUCAUUUUCUGGACACAACAGAGGAAAGGAAGACAGGGAAGAAGGAAGGGAGGGGCCAAAGUCACUUUCUUGGUGCAAGGACAUCUUUGAGAUCCAGUGACACAGUUUGGGUUUCUGUUUUUCGAGGUCUCUUUAUGCCUUGGCAAGUCUUUCUGGUGUUGGAUUGGAAGAGCGCCAUAAAGGAGGCCACAGCCAAGCCUGUGCCCAGUGCCCUGGGAAACGAAGGGGCCUGACGAUUCCUUAGGAACAGCAGCAGCAGGGGAGACAGCAGCAGGAACUGUGGCUGUGCAAUUCCUGAGGAUGCUUUUUCCCAAGCCCCUCCCCUCUGAGCCUUAGUUUCCUAAUCUGAAAGUGUGAACUAGAACAACGCCCAUGUGGCUAUUAUCAGCGGGAACGAGCUGACCUGGGUCUCGUGGCGCACUCAGCACAGUCUUGAGUGCAUAAAAGCAUUCAGCUCACAUUAAGUGACAGUCAGGAGUCUGUCUCUGACAUCUGUAGGGCUCUGCUCAGCAGCCGUGAAAAAAUGGGUUCAACACCCAGCCAGCUAGUGACUGAGAGUUUGCAUUUUUCAACCCAAAGACAACAGUGCAGCCAAGUGCAGCUGUCAGGUCCUUUGCUCUUAUUGCUGUUUUAUGUUAGGGUCCUGGAAGGCUGCUUUUCUUCAUGUUUUCUAACACCUCAGGAAUACUGCGGCAUUUUCUACUGAUUCCCUCCUGGGGCCAUUCUCUGGUUGGCUAGGGCUCUCUCGCAGGUGUGGGGGUGACUCUGGCCAUGGGGCAGCUGAAGUUACCUGUAAGGAACAAGAUCCCAGCAGUGGUAUCCCUGGCGGCAUGGGGAACCCUCCUUCUCCUCUGAGUCCGGAUUUGGUCCUGAGGAAGACGUGUCACAGUAGCGGAAAUAAAGGCCCUUUCUGCCCAGCAGGUGUCAGUGAUGACUCUGGGCUCCUUGCCGUCAGAGGUCCACACAGCUGAUGUUGUAGGUUUGAAAUGUCCAGUGUGGAGUCCAGCGACACCAGCGUGAACUGCUGUUGGUGACACUGCAGGGUUCUCUUGGCCAAGGAAACAGAACUCAAGCUUCAGUACUUCUGCUAAACCAGGGGCUUUUACCCAUUCUGUGGACAGCACAGCUCCUGCAACUACUUCCCUCAUUGCUUGGUUCUGGGCAGCGAAGAGACUAAGUGUGCACUGCUCUCCGCCCCGAGCAGACCCUUUAGUGUGCGUUCCUGUGAGGUCAUCUCACUUUUAUGUUCCCAUUCAAGGUUCUCUUCAGUCCCGCCAUGGUUUUCCCUAUUAUUCUGGAUGAAACCUGCCCAGGUGAGGGCCACAGAAUCAUGUCCCGACAAUCAGCAGCCUGGGAAAUCAGCCACUUUGUGUGCCAUUGUCCCAGGCUGGUGCUGAACGCUGCGGCCAUCAGCAGCCCCGACACCUGGGAUUGCUUGGCUUGUAUUUUCUACAUUCAUUGAAAAUCCUGCCUUGUUGUUUAUUUUCUUUCGGUCCCAUGUGAGGCUGAGCUGUUUUUCACAACUCUUUGCGGGACUCGAUACCUGAUGGCAAAGGGAAAUUAAAGUACAUCCGUGGGCCAGGCACAUUUUUGUGCAGACAAAUGGUUUUCCAUAGAAACUCGGUGACACUUCUCAAGCCCUUUCUUAAAGUGCCCCGACCUGCCCUCCUUUCGUCCCUCCCUUCCUCCCUCUCCUGCUUCUUUCCUCUCUCCCUCCUUCUUCCUGCCUUCCUUUCUCUUGCCCCAUCCACCUUCUUUCCUUGUCUCUUGGAUACGAAUGUCACUCAAGCGAUGUUCGUAUUUGAGCAUCUUUCUUUAUUAUUUCUUUAUUAUUUGAGCCUAAGUAUUUUUAAUCCAUAAAAGGGAGAUUUUAAAACCUCAUAGAAUGACUUUGGAUUAAAUUAAAUUAUUCACACAAAGCACUUAGCAUAUUUCCUGGCCUACUAUUAGAAGGGCAAAAAAGUUAGCUAUUAUUGUUCCUUCAACAAGCAUUUAUGACAUAUUGCAUGUUAAACGUGGCACAUCCACAAACAUUUCCCAAAUAAAAAAUUGUCUUUAUUUCAAUACACACAAAUCACACACCAAUUUGGAGGCAGAGAAGUACUGACAUUGUGCUAAUGAUGAGUAGCUGUUAAAGUUCUGGGAGAAGCUGGGAUCGUACCCUGCUUUAUCUUCUAGAAGCUGUCAGGAGUUUUCGUUAGUUCUCAUUUCUUUUCUUCACCCCAUUUGUGGUUCCCCCAUCCUUUUGCCCGAGACCCUUCUUCCCUGGUUUGGGGUUACCUGUAGGGCCUUCUUCUCGCGUGGCAGUUCCUACGACUGAAUCCCCUGUCCAUUUCUGCACAGCUGUGCAAAUCAGCAUGAAAAAGAUGGCUCUUGCUGUUACAUUUGUCCACUUUUCCCCUGACAGUAGCCAAUGGCUCUAGGUUUCCUUCUGCUUCUAUGAACCCGUUGUCCCUCUGGCUGCUACCAGCUCCAGUCACUCGCCAUUCAGUGAUGGCAUAAGUGAUUAAUCUGUGACUAGUUUCCUUGGUCUUCCACAGAGCAAGCGCAGGGCCCAUUCAUCAAGAUGACCAGGUAACUGAAGCAGUCCACCUUGAGCCAGGGCUGUGAUGCUAGCCUGGCACUCUGUUGGGUUCAAUGCAAUAACUUUUCCUUGGUGAAUCCCGGGCUCCUCAGCCUCCGGCAGAGUCCCAUCAUGGACAGUGGCUUUUCUGUAAAUGCCUCUUCUCCUUACCACGUGCUUCUUUGGAACUUAAUCUGAGACUGGCUUGAGCCACAGUCUUAACUUGAUCUUGUUGCCCCUGAAGAGCCAACCAGAGGGAAUGGGCUUCUACUGCAGUUCGAGGAGGGGAGCUGGCCCUGGAAGGACUUUCCCCCCAGGCUUGGAGAAACUGCUGUAGAAUUCUGAGGAGGCCAAUGGGAACUUUCUAAGAAAGCUCUAAGGGAGGGAAUUAGAGGGAUAGUACUAGGGUAUGGAAUGGGUGCCUCCCUCCUAUCCCCAGUGCGAAGAAGGUUUAGAGGUGGAGGAGAUCUUAGCAACUAUCUAUUGCAAUCCCCUUCUCAAUCCCACUCUUGGGAUCGUUUUUCUUGGCAUGAGUCCUCCUUGUCUUUUUUUUCAUUCAUUUCACAGAUUUCUGUGAUUUGGGAUGUCAUACUGACGGAUCGUCACUGUCCCAAGUACAAGGUGACAAGACAUCAAACAGCCUCAAGGUUGCCUCAAGACAGUCAAGUCUGUAAAUCGGUCCAGAGUUACGUAGUGGAGAAUGUCACUGGCAAAUAUCAGAUGAGGAAUCUCCCAAGUUCUCAUUUCCCCCCCAGAAAUAUCAUGAAAAACUAAACUAAACUCAUCAGCGGUCAAAAACCAACUUUGUAGAAACUCUGGGAAACAGCCAGAGAUUUACAGCAAGAACCAAAUGUGCAAUCAAGGAAAAAGCUGUCUUCCAAAUGGAAUGAAAGUUGUUGAAUUUUUGCUCUUCUUGGCUCCAUCUCCCUUUCCCUCAGAGUACUGGUGUGGAGCAGACAGCAUAGAGUUCCCAAGUACCCACCUUAACUGAGGGAAGCUAAGCAGCCCUACUUGGAAAUCAUUGUGUACAUCUGUGCUAAGCUGUCUGGGGGACACCUGAAAUAUUGAUGUAAAGCAGUAGCCUCUGUUCUGUGUAACUCACUAUGUAGAUGGGAAGAUCAGCAGACACUACUGGUAAAAGCCACAAGGCAACCACAAGCCAGAGAUAUCUGGGGAGAGAGAUUCCAGGUGGAGACAUACAAUAGACCAUCUAAGAUCUGAAGAGAAGCUGAGGUUAGACCCUAGGAAAUUAGGUCAUUUAAAACUAGUCAUGUAUACCUGGGAAGUUGGAAACUCAGGCAAGAUGGAUGUUUAGAACAAUUCUGAGAAUACCUUAAGCCAUCAGUCUUGGGCUGAGCCCAAGACUCAAAGAAAGUCUGUGUAGUUGUGUGCCUCCAGCACAGAGCCAGCCUACAAAAACUAAGAGAGAUGGAUGGUCCCUCCUUUUGGUUUUAUAUUUUGGAUGCUGUAUGUUUGUUGGUUUUGCCCCUUGCCAUUUGGGAAUCUAAUGAAUAGCAUGAAAAGGCAUAGUCUUUGCAAAAAUGGUCUGGAAAAGUUUCAAAACAAAUGUUUAACUAUAACCUUCAACAACAACAAAGAGUAAGAAAGAAAGAGACAAAAGAGAAAACUAGAAAAUUUUAACAAAUUUUAUUUUCAGAGUACUGCAUUGAAAUAAUCAAAUACCCAAUUAAAAAAUCACAAGGCAUUCAAAGAAGCAGGACCAUAUGGUUCAUUCAAAGGAAUAUUAAAUGAUGGAAGCUGUCCUUGAAGAAACCUUGACAUCAGAAUCACUAUACAACCACUCUAAAACUAUAGUCUUAAUAUGCUUAAAGAGCUAAAAGAAAACAUAGGCAAAGAACUAAAUUAAAUCAGGAAAAAUAAUAUAUGAACACAAUGAAACUAUCAAUAAAGAUAUUGUUGAUCUUUACAAAAAUUACAAAAAUAGAAUCAAACAAAUUCUGGAGUUGAAAAGUGCAAUGACUAAAAUGAAAAUUCACCAGAAGACUGCAACAAGAGAGUAAAGAAGGCAGAAGAAAGAAUAGUAAACCAGAAGAUUAGAUAAACCAAAGUGUUGAAUCUAAGAAAUAGGACAAAAAUGAAAAGUAAACAGCAUAAGAAACUUUUGGAACAUCAUUUAAUGGACCAAUUUAUGCAUUAAGGAACUUACAAAAGAUAAAAGUAAUGGUCCAAGAAUUAUUUGGAAAAAUAAUGGUUUAACACUUUUCAAAUGUGAAGAAAGACAUGAGUCUUCAAAUCCAAAAACUUUAAGAAGGAUCACCCAAGAGACUCAUAUGAAGACCCAUUGUGAGCAAGUGUCAAAAGAAAAAGACAAAAAGAAUCUCAAAAGUAGCAAGGGAAAAAUAACUUGUCACAUAUAUGGGAUCUUCAGUCAAAUUAUCAACUGAUUUUUCAUAAGAAGCCAUGGAGGGCAAAAUGUAAUUCUAUGGUAUUUAUUAAAUGGUCAAAGAAGAAAACUGUCAAAUGAGAAUUCUAAAUCUGGCAAAGCAUAGAAGAAAAUAAUUCUGUCUACAUAACCAGGUUAAUUGUACUGAAGCAGGGCUUUGAAAAUAUUGUUAUCCUAUUUAUGAUGUUUCAAUGGUUCUCCAUUGCCUACAAGGUAAAAUCUAAGUUCUUUCCAAUUCCUAAUCUGAUUUCAAUUUACUUUUCCAGCACCACCUUGCACUGUAGCCAGAUAAUUCCAACAGAUACCUCCAUGUACCUUUCAUACUCCCCCUUGCCUACCUUAAUCAUAAUAUAGCUUCCCAGAGCAAUAUUGUACUCUAUUUCUUUUAGGAUGUGCUCUUGAAUCUUCCUACUGUUGAUAAGUCAUUUCUUCCCUUGUGCAGCAAAAUGGCGGUCUGUCUGUGUCCCUGUGGUUUGGCCAAGGCCUUCAUCCACCUCAGCCACUCACCUUUAUCUGAAACAGUGGAUUCUGAGCAAGGCUGAGGAAAGGCAAACUUUGAUGCUUAGCCACCUGAUGCUUUACUAUGAGCUCUAACUGGGUAAUAUUUCUUCUCACUGGACUCUGACUCUUUUUACUAAAGUGGUCUUUCCUCAAAAUACUAUAGAAGUAUUUUUGUGAACUGUGCUCAAAGACAGAUUCUAAACCCAAUAUUUUGGAAAAACUUUAGGGUGGCCUCCAUAGUGCCUGAUUGCUGUAAUCUGACGUUGAGUAGUUCUUUCAUCUUGGGCCAAAUUGGCCCUGUGACUUGCUUCUGUCAAUGGAUUAUGCCAAAGGUAAUGAGAAGUCACUGUCAUGAUUAGGUUACAUUAUGUAAGGGUCUCUGUAGGCCCUCUUUACUGUCCAGGCACCUUCCAUGAAGGUGCCAGUGGUCACAGAAAAGGGAAAGGUGUGUUUAUGGCUCUAUACCUCCUGUUUGUCAUCAGGAAUGGAGAAUCAGUGUCCUCCGUUCACACCCACAAAUGCACUCAAUGAUGCUAGGUGAGGCUAGGAACCCUUCUUAAGGACUUAGUGAAAGACACAAGCAUGUUGGAGAAGCCCACAUGUCAACAUACUGUGAGCAUUUCUGGGACACACAGGUGACUUAUAGCCUGCAAAAAGCUGAGGCCACUGGUCACAAAAAAAUGAUUCUGUCAGCUACCUGAAUGAGCCUGGAAGCAGAUUCUUCA
Molecule: non-coding RNA, 8661 nt
Organism: Heterocephalus glaber (naked mole-rat)
Lineage: Eukaryota; Metazoa; Chordata; Mammalia; Rodentia; Bathyergidae
Source: RefSeq, a predicted model, not a curated record